This 766-nucleotide ribosomal RNA is filed under the name Wolbachia endosymbiont of Eupteryx melissae. Its description in RNAcentral is "bacterial SSU rRNA". It matches the Rfam family "Bacterial small subunit ribosomal RNA", at positions 135 to 938 of the family's 1533-position model. Lineage: Bacteria; Pseudomonadati; Pseudomonadota; Alphaproteobacteria; Rickettsiales; Anaplasmataceae. The record is from RNAcentral.
AGUACGGAAUAAUUGUUGGAAACGGCAACUAAUACCGUAUACGCCCUACGGGGGAAAAAUUUAUUGCUAUUAGAUGAGCCUAUAUUAGAUUAGCUAGUUGGUGGGGUAAUAGCCUACCAAGGCAAUGAUCUAUAGCUGAUCUGAGAGGAUGAUCAGCCACACUGGAACUGAGAUACGGUCCAGACUYCUACGGGAGGCAGCAGUGGGGAAUAUUGGACAAUGGGCGAAAGCCUGAUCCAGCCAUGKCGCAUGAGUGAAGAAGGCCUUUGGGUUGUAAAGCUCUUUUAGUGAGGAAGAUAAUGACGGUACUCACAGAAGAAGUCCUGGCUAACUCCGUGCCAGCAGCCGCGGUAAUACGGAGAGGGCUAGCGUUAUUCGGAAUUAUUGGGCGUAAAGGGCGCGUAGGCUGYUUAAUAAGUUAAAAGUGAAAUCCCGAGGCUUAACCUUGGAAUUGCUUUUAAAACUAUUAAUCUAGAGAUUGAAAGAGGAUAGAGGAAUUCCUGAUGUAGAGGUAAAAUUCGUAAAUAUUAGGAGGAACACCAGUGGCGAAGGCGUCUAUCUGGUUCAAAUCUGACGCUGAAGCGCGAAGGCGUGGGGAGCAAACAGGAUUAGAUACCCUGGUAGUCCACGCUGUAAACGAUGAAUGUUAAAUAUGGGAAGUUUACUUUCUGUAUUACAGCUAACGCGUUAAAGAUUCCGCCUGGGGACUACGGUCGCAAGAUUAAAACUCAAAGGAAUUGACGGGGACCCGCACAAGCGGUGGAGC